Molecule: long non-coding RNA, 632 nt
Organism: Hemiscyllium ocellatum (epaulette shark)
Lineage: Eukaryota; Metazoa; Chordata; Chondrichthyes; Orectolobiformes; Hemiscylliidae
Exons: 5
Source: RefSeq, a predicted model, not a curated record
GCGGAGCUAACGUAAACCAUGUGAUCACCCUCGCGCCUGACAGAGUCUCUGUAAUGAAUGCUCGGGAAGUUAUGAAGAGAAAGGAUACGAUCCCAGUGAUUAAUGCCAAAGCCCUGUUGCCUGUGGAGAGGGUGAUGUUUGACUUUCUUGUACAGCUGCAGUUUGUGUGGUGAAGGUGCUCCCACAAUGUGGUUGGAUCCCAGUGAUUAAUGCCAAAGCCCCAUUGCCUGGGGAGAGGGUGAUGUUUGACUUCCUUGUACAGCUGCAGUUUGUGUGGUGAAGGUGCUCCCACAAUGUGGUUGGGUGGACACUCAGAUGGUAACCUUAGUCAUUGUAACACCAAACUCUGACAGAAUUGCUCAGUUCAUCAGGACCUGGAUAUUUGCAUUUAGUUCAGAAGCAGCCUCAGGGCAUUGAGCACAGACUGAAUGACUCAGUGACGCUUGGAUCAGCUCAGAUCAAAUUCUCAAGCAAACAGAUGGCUGGGGAUAUUCAGUAACAACGGUGAGGAGAGAGAGGAACAAUUCACAUUUCAAGUGACCCUUCCUCAAAACGGUCUGUUCUGAAGGAGCUUUCCCGCAGAAAUCACUGGAUUGAAAGGUGAACUCUGUCUCUGUCUCUUUCUCCCUCUC